AUUGAACGCUGGCGGUAGGCCUAACACAUGCAAGUCGAACGGCAGCACAGGAGAGCUUGCUCUCUGGGUGGCGAGUGGCGGACGGGUGAAGAAUACAUCGGAAUCUACUCUGUCGUGGGGGAUAACGUAGGGAAACUUACGCUAAUACCGCAUACGACCUACGGGUGAAAGCAGGGGACCUUCGGGCCUUGCGCGAUUGAAUGAGCCGAUGUCGGAUUAGCUAGUUGGCGGGGUAAAGGCCCACCAAGGCGACGAUCCGUAGCUGGUCUGAGAGGAUGAUCAGCCACACUGGAACUGAGACACGGUCCAGACUCCUACGGGAGGCAGCAGUGGGGAAUAUUGGACAAUGGGCGCAAGCCUGAUCCAGCCAUACCGCGUGGGUGAAGAAGGCCUCCGGGUUGUAAAGCCCUUUUGUCGGGAAAGAAAUCCAGCUGGCUAAUACCCGGUUGGGAUGACGGUACCCAAAGAAUAAGCACCGGCUAACUUCGUGCCAGCCGCCGCGGUAA
Molecule: ribosomal RNA, 506 nt
Filed under: uncultured bacterium
Lineage: Bacteria
Description: partial 16S ribosomal RNA
Rfam family: Bacterial small subunit ribosomal RNA
Source: RNAcentral